RNAcentral lists this ribosomal RNA (442 nucleotides) under uncultured bacterium. Its description in RNAcentral is "partial 16S ribosomal RNA". It matches the Rfam family "Bacterial small subunit ribosomal RNA", at positions 338 to 795 of the family's 1533-position model. The record is from RNAcentral.
CCUACGGGUGGCAGCAGUGGGGAAUAUUGGGCAAUGGGCGCAAGCCUGACCCAGCAACGCCGCGUGAAGGAAGAAGGCUUUCGGGUUGUAAACUUCUUUUUAGAGGGAAGAGCAGAAGACGGUACCUCUCGAAUAAGCCACGGCUAACUACGUGCCAGCAGCCGCGGUAAUACGUAGGUGGCAAGCGUUGUCCGGAUUUACUGGGUGUAAAGGGCGUGCAGCCGGGCGUGCAAGUCAGAUGUGAAAUCCUGGGGCUAAACCGCGGAACUGCAUUUGAAACUGUGAGUCUUGAGUACGGGAGAGGCAGGCGGAAUUCCUAGUGUAGCGGUGAAAUGCGUAGAUAUUAGGAGGAACACCAGUGGCGAAGGCGGUCUGCUGGACAGCAACUGACGGUGAGGCGCGAAAGCGUGGGGAGCAAACAGGAUUAGAUACCCUAGUAGUC